AUUGAACGCUGGCGGAAUGCUUUACACAUGCAAGUCGAACGGCAGCACGGACUUCGGUCUGGUGGCGAGUGGCGAACGGGUGAGUAAUGUAUCGGAACGUGCCCAGUCGUGGGGGAUAACGUAGUGAAAAUUACGCUAAUACCGCAUACGAUCUAUGGAUGAAAGCGGGGGAUCGCAAGACCUCGCGCGAGUUGAGCGGCCGAUAUCAGAUUAGGGAGUUGGUGGGGUAAAGGCCCACCAAGCCAACGAUCUGUAGCUGGUCUGAGAGGACGACCAGCCACACUGGAACGGAGACACGGUCCAGACUCCUACGGGAGGCAGCAGUGGGGAAUUUUGGACAAUGGGCGAAAGCCUGAUCCAGCCAUUCCGCGUGCAGGAUGAAGGCCCUCGGGUUGUAAACUGCUUUUGUACAGAACGAAAAGGUUUCUACUAAUACUAGGAGCUCAUGACGGUACUGUAAGAAUAAGCACCGGCUAACUACGUGCCAGCCGCCGCCGUAA
Molecule: ribosomal RNA, 500 nt
Filed under: uncultured bacterium
Lineage: Bacteria
Description: partial 16S ribosomal RNA
Rfam family: Bacterial small subunit ribosomal RNA
Source: RNAcentral